GAGCGGGGGACAGCUUGUGACUACGAGAUAAUGAUCUUGUUACCAUGCGAACACUGCCUGACUAAGAUUCCCGCCUUAGCUAGCUUAAUGUCUGUUAAAGUGAUUAGCCAAUCAGCAUGAAACUUGUGUGCCUUAGACUAUAUAAAUGUAUGUUUGCCAUACAAUAAAGCGGACACCUUGCUUGCAUCAAGCUGCGUCCCCGUCUCUCAAUCGCGGCAAAUUGGUGACCUCCGACGUGAUCGUCAGCGACGAAACCGCCGAGGAUUGAAAAACCGCCUACCUGGUGGCAUGUCGCGAGUCCCGCAGAACGUGGAAUGAGCUGCUGAAAGGAAGCAGGAUAAGCCGGCCGGCCAAACAAUCCCUCCGUCUGGAACGAGAGAAAGAGGUCCCCGCUGGAUCCCAGCUAAAAACGUGAGACCUUUUCGAGAGACACUGCAGCAGCCUCCUGAAGACAUUCCUGGUCCUGAUCCUGCGACUGAUAUAGAAGACACUACCGAUCAAUAAUUGAAUGAACUCUGUUCCAGAGGUUAACAAAUGGGAGCUUAAAUGUCUCCAAUGUGAAAAAUGUAAUCCGUGGAUUUGUAGAAUUUGUGCUAAUUGUGGGAAAUCACAGUGGCUAAAUCGCCACACAGUAGGACGCUGGUGUGAUAACUGCCUAACAAUUGAGUGGAAUACAGUUCAGGUGUUAUUGAUAACAGGUAGAGAGACAGAAUAUUCUCCCCGGUAUGGUUAUUAUUCUGACGAUUGGGGGAAAAUUGUAGCACAAAGGUCUGGGGACAUUUUAUAUUCUAAGAUUGAAUGCGCCAAAGACAUUCAAAUACCGCAGAUUUGGGUAGUCACCCCCGGAAAGUGGGAACAGACAAAAAGAGAGUGUAUACGGAGGAAGAGCAAACAAUUACGAAAAUGGGCAAAAGAGUAGUUGUUUUACUUGUGAUUAUAGCUGCUGGUAUGGGCUUUGAUUUGCACCACGUUGAUCCUCGUACUAAUGUGUGGCUUACCUGGGCUAAUCAUACCGGGACUACAGAUUUUUGUUUGUCUUUAGCGCAAGUAGGUGACCCGUUUAGGACAUGUUUAAUUGGAUACCCGUAUGUAGAUUUGAUGGAUUUUGUAGGGUACGUAAAUGAGUCAGAAUUGGAAAGCAAUCUCAACCGCUCAUACUGGAGCUGGCGUAAUGACAACCUAAGGGGCUUGUGAGUUUCUGUUCUUUUAAUGAUUUGUGCAUUAUUAAUAGUAAUCCCAUGUGUGUUACAAUGCUUGCAAAAAUCAAUAACUGCUUCAAUGAACAAGAUUUUCCUCGUGCAGCAAGGAGCGGACCAAGAUCAGAAAGAAAUUACGAAAACCCCCAGUACGGAGCUGUUAGUGAAAUAAGAUGUCCUCGAGUUGGUCGUUUGCCAACCUUGGGAGGGUCAGUUAAUUAAAACAAAAAGGGGGAGAUGUGGGUUGUCUGAAUUUAGAGUUGAUGAGUUAGUUUUCUGUAUUUGGAGUUAAUAGGCUAGUUUGCUGUAUGAAUAAAGUUAAGUGUUGCGGUAGUUGUGAGGCGAAAGUCGGGGAGCUUGUGGUUGGUGGGGGUGCCUGCGCCCUGGAGCCCUGGGGACAGCUUGUGACUACGAGAUAACGAUCUUGUUACCAUGCGAACACUGCCUGACUAAGAUUCCCGCCUUAGCUAGCUUAAUGUCUGUUAAAGUGAUUAGCCAAUCAGCAUGAAACAUGUGUGCCUUAGACUAUAUAAAUGUAUGUUUGCCAUACAAUAAAGCGGACACCUUGCUUGCA
This is a long non-coding RNA of Columba livia (rock pigeon), 1770 nucleotides long. RefSeq lists it as uncharacterized. Lineage: Eukaryota; Metazoa; Chordata; Aves; Columbiformes; Columbidae. The transcript is spliced from 2 exons. The record is from RefSeq and is a predicted model, not a curated record.